CCUUUUGUAUUUAUCUCAAUAUAUAAGGGGUUUCCUGCAUAUAGUCCAUCACCUGUACAUGUAUAUAUACCGGCCUAUGGCCUCAUGGGAAUACAAGUUGCUUAUUCCUAACAUGGUAUUAGAGCUAGGUCAAUUUUUUGCACGCUGCAACUCGUGUGAUUGAUCCUUCUCUCCUACUCCUGAUCGAAGUCUGUCCUCGAUCUCCUUCUCCUCCCCGUCCAGCUGCCGUCUCAAAGGCUGCUCCAGAUCGGCUGCUGGUUCCUUCCACGAGGCGCUGCAGGUCCGCUCCAGAUCGCUGCUGCCCCGUCCCGAUCCAGUCCCGCGAGGCACCAGGCCGAGGCGCUGCAGGUUCCAGAUCGCUGCUGCCCCGUCUCGAUCGGCCUGGCGCUGCAGGUUCCAGAUCGCUGCUGCCCCGUCUCGAUCUGCAGGCAGGUUCCAGAUCGCUGCUGCCCCGUCUCGAUCUGCAGGCAGGUUCGCUCCCUCCAGUCCCGCGAGCCAUCCAGUCCCAGCCCGUGCCGCCAGGAGCUACCAAGGACUCGAUCUGCAGGCAGGUCCGCUCCAUCCAGUCCCGCGAGCGAUCCGGUCCCAGCCCGCGCCGCCAGGAGCUACCAGGGAUUCGAUCUGAUCUCGCCUUCGCCAGAUCAAGUCCUGCUGUCUGACGCGGCUCGUUGACUUCUUCAAAAAAAAAUAUCAAAAAAAAAUGUCUGCUUCAUCCGGCUACGUUGCUGUUCCUCGUUGUCCGGUGAUCUUUGAUGGCACUAAUUACACCGAGUUCAUUGACUUCAUGCGCAUUCACAUGCAUGGCAUCCGCCUAUGGGGUUUCCUUUCUGGUGAGGUCUGUUGUCCGCCAUGUCCGGUUCCUCCCGUGGCUCCCACUCCGCCGACCUCACCGGCUUUUCCUGCGGAUGCUACUCAGGCUGCCAAGGAUGCGGCUAAGCUUGCUGAUGAGGACGCUAUCCGUGCUUAUGAUGAGAAGGUCUUGGCUUAUGAGGAGGCUCUUCAGACAUAUCAUGGUGCUCUGUCUGCUUACACCCAGUGGCUUGAUGAUGAUGCUUGUGCUGCAGCUGCUCUCACUGCUAGCGUUCUGCCUCAGUUUGCCUCUGAGUUUCUGGGCCUUCCUACUGUGUUUGAGAUGUGGACUCGCCUUUGUCAGCGCUAUGAACCCUCGGGUGAUGCCUUAUACCUCUAUGGUCCGUCAGGAGCAUGCUCUUCAGCAGGGCGACUCUACUGUUGAUGACUUCUAUGCAGAGAGUUCUGCUAUCUGGCGCCAGCUUGAUUCUCUCCGCAGUGUUGGUUGUCGUACUUGCCCCUGUUGCCAGGCUGUCCAAGCCAACUUGGAGUUUCAUCGCGUCUACGAGUUCCUGUCUCGGCUCUGUAAGGAGUUUGAGCCCCGGCGUGCUCAGUUGUUUGCUCAUGGCCGUAUCUCUCUCAUGGAGGCGCUUUCUGAGAUUCGUGCCGAGGAGACUCGCUUACGUGGUGCUGGUUUGCUGGAGGUUCCUUCGGUGCUCGCUGCUCGGGCUACUUCUAAGCCAUCUGCUGCACCAACCCCUUCUCGCUCGAGUGCUCCGCCGCUCUUGCCCACACCUUCUGGAGGCUCAGGUCGCCCCCGUCCAUAUUGUGGUUACUGCAACAAUGAUGGUCAUAUUGAGUCCAACUGCUACACGAAGAAGAAACACUUGCGCAAGGCGCGCUCAUCAUCUACAGAGACCUCGUCAUCUACCUCGACAACUUCAGCCAUCGCUUUGACUGAGCAGGAUAUUCUGAGACUUAAGCGUCUGCUCGCUGCUUCGGGUUCUUCCUCGACGGGUACUGCUGGUUCUGUGACUGAGGCUUCCCGCACUGAGCAACCACCUUCUACACAGUCAGGUACAUCCCCAUGGGUUCUAGACUCUGGAGCUUCCUUUCAUAUGACUUCUAAUUCUUCUCCUCUGUCCUCUCUUCGAUCGCUUGAUUCUCCUGUUCAUGUCCUCACCGCUGAUGGUACUCCCCUUUCUGUCGUUAGUAGAGGCAAUCUUACCACUCCUUAUUUUGUUCCUGAUGUUGCUCAUGUUCCUCGACUUACCAUGAAUCUGUUUUCCACUGGUCAACUUGCUGAUUCUGGUUGUCGUGUCAUCCUUCACCUUGACUCUUGUUCUGUCCAGGACCGUCGCACGCACACUCUGGUUGGGGCUGGUCCUCGCCGCCGUGAUUUUGAGGGUCUUUGGGAGUUGGACUGGCUUCAUGUUCCUUCCGCUGCUCACUCUAUCGCCAGUUCUUCCGCUUUGGUCGCCUCGGCUACUGGUUCCUUCCAGCAGUGGCAUCAUCGACUUGGUCAUCUGUGUGGCUCUCGUUUGUCGUCAUUAGUUCGUCGAGGUCUUCUGGGGUCUGUCUCAGGAGAUGCCUCUUUAGAGUGUCAGGGUUGUCGUCUUGGCAAGCAGAUUCAGUUACCAUAUCCACAUAGUGAGUCAGUGUCUAAGCGUCCUUUUGAUUUAGUUCAUUCCGAUAUAUGGGGUCCGGCUCCCUUCGCUUCGAAAGGGGGUCAUAAAUACUAUAUUAUUUUCAUAGAUGACUUCUCUCGUUACACAUGGCUUUAUUUCAUGACUUCUCGUAGUGAGGUGUUGUCCAUUUAUAAGCAUUUUGCUGCCAUGGUUCAUACUCAGUUCUCUUCUCCCAUUCGUGUGUUCCGUGCUGACUCUGCUGGCGAGUAUAUCUCUAAGAUGUUGUGUGGUGUUCUUGCUGAGCAAGGGACUCCCUCUCAAUUCUCUUGUCCUGGUGCUCACGCUCAGAAUGGUGUGGCUGAGCGCAAGCAUUUUCAUCUUCUUGAGACAGCUCGUGCAUUGAUGAUUGCUGCCUCUCUCCCGCCUCAUUUUUGGGCUGAGGCCGUUUCCACCUCCACCUAUCUCAUCAAUUUCCAACCUUCCGCUGCUCUACAGGGUGGUGUUCCUUUCGAGCGUCUUUUUUAUCGUUCUCCCGAUUAUUCGAUGCUUCGCUUGUUUGGUUGUGUUUGCUAUGUUCUUCUUGCCCCCCGCGAACGCACCAAACUGACCGCUCAGUCUGUUGAGUGUGUCUUCUUAGGCUAUAGUGAUGAGCAUAAGGGCUAUCGUUGUUGGGAUCCUCUCGGUCGUCGGAUGCGUAUCUCUCGGGAUGUGACUUUUGAUGAGUCUCGUCCCUUCUACCCACGCCCAUCUUCCUCGACUUUUUCAGUGGAGGAUAUCUCUUUCCUCACUUUUCCUGACACACCUAUCACACCCGUCGAGCCUUUGCCUAUUCGUUCCGCUCCCUCUGCUUCUCCACCUCCAGUCGAUUUGUCGCCACCAUCUUCCACGGUCUCCUCAUCUAGCAUGUCACCUGAUUCUACACCUUCUUCUCCGGUGACUUCUUUGUCGCCACUCCCCGAUUCUCCCUUGGUGAUUCCUCCUUCCAUUGUUCCGUCUUCUCCUCAGUGUUACACUCGUCGUUCACGUUCUGUGGAUGCCUCUGUGGAUGUGUCGUCAUCCUCAUCGCGGCCUACUUAUGGCUUGCGUUCUCGUCCUCGUCCGCCUGUUGAUCGUUUUGGAUUUUCCACUGCUGGUGCUGCUGUUCUUGAGCCGACUACUUAUCAUCAGGCUGUUGUUCAUCCUGAAUGGCAGUUUGCGAUGGCAGAGGAGAUUGCUGCUCUUGAACGCACUGGUACGUGGGAUCUUGUUUCCCUUCCUCCCAGAGUCCGUCCCAUCACUUGUAAGUGGGUCUACAAGGUUAAGACUCGCUCCGAUGGUUCUCUUGAGCGUCACAAAGCUCGUCUUGUGGCUCGUGGUUUUCAGCAGGAGCAUGGUCGUGAUUAUGACGAGACUUUUGCUCAUGUGGCUCAUAUGACCACUGUCCGUACACUUCUUGCCGUGGCUUCUACACGCCACUGGUCUAUCUCUCAGCUUGAUGUUAAGAAUGCUUUUCUUAAUGGUGAGCUGUGUGAGGAGGUGUACAUGCAGCCACCACCUGGGUAUUCUGUUCCUGAUGGCAUGGUAUGUCGUCUUCGUCGCUCUCUCUAUGGCCUUAAGCAAGCCCCUCGCGCCUGGUUUGAGCGUUUUGCCUCUGUGGUGACUACCGUUGGUUUUUCACCCAGUGUUCAUGAUCCAGCAUUGUUUAUUCACCUUUCUCCUCGUGGUCGGACUCUUCUUCUCUAUGUUUGAUGACAUGGUCAUCACUGGGGAUGACCCUGAGUAUAUUGCCUUUGUCAAGGCCCGCCUUAGUGAGCAGUUCCUUAUGUCUGAUCUUGGACCUCUUCGCUACUUUCUUGGGAUUGAAGUCUCUUCUACCUCUGAUGGCUUCUUUAUAUCCCAGGAAAAGUAUAUCCAGGAUCUUCUUGCUCGUGCUGCUCUUACUGAUGAGCGCAUUGUUGAGACUCCUAUGGAGCUCAAUGUUCACCUCUCUGCUACGGAUGGUGAUCCCCUGCCUGAUCCGACUCGUUAUCGUCAUCUUGUUGGCGGUCUUGUUUAUCUAGCUGUCACUCGUCCGGAUAUCUCUUAUCCGGUUCAUAUUUUGAGUCAGUUCGUCUCUGCUCCCACAUCGGUUCACUAUAGUCAUCUCCUCCGUGUUCUCCGAUAUCUUCGGGGCACGAUCUCUCGCCGUCUAUUCUUUCCUCGCUCCAGUUCUUUACAGCUUCAGGCCUAUUCGGAUGCUACGUGAGCUAGUGAUCCUUCAGAUCGCCGUUCACUUUCUGCUUACUGUGUUUUUUUUGGUGGUUCUCUCAUUGCCUGGAAGACGAAGAAACAGGUUGCAGUUUCCCGUUCGAGUGCAGAUGCUGAGUUGCGAGCGAUGGCUCUUUUGACGGCAGAGGUGACUUAGUUACAAUGGUUACUUCAGGAUUUUGGUGUUUCUGUCACUACACCAACUCUGCUCUUAUCUGACAGUACAUGUGCUAUUAGCAUUGCGCGCGAUCCUGUGAAGCAUGAGUUCAGCAAGCAUAUUGGUGUUGAUGCUUUCUAUGUGCGCGCUGCUGUGCAGGAUCAGGUUGUUGCUCUUCAGUAUGUGCCUUCCGAAUUACAGUUGCGGAUUUCCUGACGAAGGCCCAGACUAGAGCACAACAUUGCUUCUAUCUCUCCAAACUCAGUGUUGUUCAUCCACCAUGAGUUUGAGGGGGGUGUUAAGAGUUAUAAUAUAAGCCAUGUACCCUUUUGUAUUUAUCCCAAUAUAUAAGGGGUUUCCUGCAUAUAGUCCAUCACCUGUACAUGUAUAUAUACCGGCCUAUGGCCUCAUGGGUUAUUCCUAACAGUUCUAUCCUAAAUAUUAUGUUAGGCCCAACCAAAAUAUAUAUAUAGUGUCGGCCGAACAAGUCCCGGACAGUCCGGCCAAUUGUUCGGGCCUUGCUAGCUUGGACUUGGCUAGUUCUUAUAUAUAUCUCAAGAUGA
RNAcentral lists this long non-coding RNA (5363 nucleotides) under Hordeum vulgare. Its description in RNAcentral is "long non-coding RNA (HVUL_LNC015865)". Lineage: Eukaryota; Viridiplantae; Streptophyta; Magnoliopsida; Poales; Poaceae. The record is from RNAcentral.